This 565-nucleotide ribosomal RNA is filed under the name uncultured Bifidobacterium sp. Its description in RNAcentral is "bacterial SSU rRNA". It matches the Rfam family "Bacterial small subunit ribosomal RNA", at positions 146 to 711 of the family's 1533-position model. Lineage: Bacteria; Bacillati; Actinomycetota; Actinomycetes; Bifidobacteriales; Bifidobacteriaceae. The record is from RNAcentral.
UCUCCUGGAAACGGGUGGUAAUGCCGGAUGUUCCACAUGAGCGCAUGCGAGUGUGGGAAAGGCUUUUUGCGGCAUGGGAUGGGGUCGCGUCCUAUCAGCUUGUUGGUGGGGUAACGGCCUACCAAGGCGUUGACGGGUAGCCGGCCUGAGAGGGCGACCGGCCACAUUGGGACUGAGAUACGGCCCAGACUCCUACGGGAGGCAGCAGUGGGGAAUAUUGCACAAUGGGCGCAAGCCUGAUGCAGCGACGCCGCGUGCGGGAUGGAGGCCUUCGGGUUGUAAACCGCUUUUGUUCAAGGGCAAGGCACGGUUUCGGCCGUGUUGAGUGGAUUGUUCGAAUAAGCACCGGCUAACUACGUGCCAGCAGCCGCGGUAAUACGUAGGGUGCAAGCGUUAUCCGGAUUUAUUGGGCGUAAAGGGCUCGUAGGCGGUUCGUCGCGUCCGGUGUGAAAGUCCAUCGCUUAACGGUGGAUCCGCGCCGGGUACGGGCGGGCUUUGAGUGCGGUAGGGGAGACUGGAAUUCCCGGUGUAACGGUGGAAUGUGUAGAUAUCGGGAAGAACACCA